Molecule: ribosomal RNA, 465 nt
Filed under: Vreelandella stevensii
Lineage: Bacteria; Pseudomonadati; Pseudomonadota; Gammaproteobacteria; Oceanospirillales; Halomonadaceae
Description: partial 16S ribosomal RNA
Rfam family: Bacterial small subunit ribosomal RNA
Source: RNAcentral
CCUACGGGUGGCAGCAGUGGGGAAUAUUGGACAAUGGGCGAAAGCCUGAUCCAGCCAUGCCGCGUGUGUGAAGAAGGCCUUCGGGUUGUAAAGCACUUUCAGUGGGGAAGAAAGCCUUGGGGCUAAUACCCUCGAGGAAGGACAUCACCCACAGAAGAAGCACCGGCUAACUCCGUGCCAGCAGCCGCGGUAAUACGGAGGGUGCGAGCGUUAAUCGGAAUUACUGGGCGUAAAGCGCGCGUAGGCGGUCUGAUAAGCCGGUUGUGAAAGCCCCGGGCUCAACCUGGGAACGGCAUCCGGAACUGUCAGGCUAGAGUGCAGGAGAGGAAGGUAGAAUUCCCGGUGUAGCGGUGAAAUGCGUAGAGAUCGGGAGGAAUACCAGUGGCGAAGGCGGCCUUCUGGACUGACACUGACGCUGCGGUGCGAAAGCGUGGGUAGCAAACAGGAUUAGAUACCCCUGUAGUC